GAUGAACGCUGGCGGCGUGCCUAAUACAUGCAAGUCGAGCGAACGGACGAGAAGCUUGCUUUUCUGAUGUUAGCGGCGGACGGGCGAGUAACACGUGGAUAACCUACCUAUAAGACUGGGAUAACUUCGGGAAACCGGAGCUAAUACCGGAUAAUAUUUUGAACCGCAUGGUUCAAAAGUGAAAGACGGUCUUGCUGUCACUUAUAGAUGGAUCCGCGCUGCAUUAGCUAGUUGGUAAGGUAACGGCUUACCAAGGCAACGAUGCAUAGCCGACCUGAGAGGGUGAUCGGCCACACUGGAACUGAGACACGGUCCAGACUCCUACGGGAGGCAGCAGUAGGGAAUCUUCCGCAAAGGGCGAAAGCCUGACGGAGCAACGCCGCGUGAGUGAUGAAGGUCUUCGGAUCGUAAAACUCUGUUAUUAGGGAAGAACAUAUGUGUAAGUAACUGUGCACAUCUUGACGGUACCUAAUCAGAAAGCCACGGCUAACUACGUG
RNAcentral lists this ribosomal RNA (497 nucleotides) under uncultured bacterium. RNAcentral's name for it is "partial 16S ribosomal RNA". It matches the Rfam family "Bacterial small subunit ribosomal RNA", at positions 28 to 507 of the family's 1533-position model. The record is from RNAcentral.